This 358-nucleotide unclassified non-coding RNA is filed under the name soil metagenome. Its description in RNAcentral is "partial contains 5.8S ribosomal RNA, internal transcribed spacer 2, and large subunit ribosomal RNA". The stretch from base 1 to 120 matches the Rfam family "5.8S ribosomal RNA", at positions 35 to 154 of the family's 154-position model. The record is from RNAcentral.
GAUGAAGAACGUAGCGAAAUGCGAUAAGUAAUGUGAAUUGCAGAAUUCAGUGAAUCAUCGAAUCUUUGAACGCACAUUGCGCCCGUCAGUAUUCUGGCGGGCAUGCCUGUUCGAGCGUCAUUACGCCCCUCAAGUCCCCUGUGGACUUGGUGUUGGGGAUCGGCGAGGCUGGUUUUCCAGCACAGCCGUCCCUUAAAUUAAUUGGCGGUCUCGCCGUGGCCCUCCUCUGCGCAGUAGUAAAACACUCGCAACAGGAGCCCGGCGCGGUCCACUGCCGUAAAACCCCCCAACUUUUUAUAGUUGACCUCGAGUCAGGUAGGACUACCCGCUGAACUUAAGCAUAUCAAUAAGCGGAGGA